This 253-nucleotide ribosomal RNA is filed under the name uncultured bacterium. RNAcentral's name for it is "partial 16S ribosomal RNA". It matches the Rfam family "Bacterial small subunit ribosomal RNA", at positions 524 to 776 of the family's 1533-position model. The record is from RNAcentral.
UACAGAGGGGGCAAGCGUUAUUCGGAAUUAUUGGGCGUAAAGGGCGCGUAGGCGGCUUGGCAAGUGGAUGGUGAAAUCCCUCGGCUUAACCGAGGAACUGCCGUCCAAACUGCUUCGCUUGAGACCGGGAGAGGUGAGUGGAAUUCCCAGUGUAGCGGUGAAAUGCGUAGAUAUUGGGAGGAACAUCCGUGGCGAAGGCGGCUCUCUGGGACGGUACUGACGCUGAGACGCGAAAGCGUGGGGAGCGAACAGG